UACGUAGGGUGCGAGCGUUGUCCGGAAUUAUUGGGCGUAAAGGGCUCGUAGGCGGUUUGUCGCGUCGGGAGUGAAAACGCCGGGCUUAACUCGGUGCUUGCUUUCGAUACGGGCAGACUAGAGGCAUGCAGGGGAGAACGGAAUUCCUGGUGUAGCGGUGAAAUGCGUAGAUAUCUGGAGGAACACCGGUGGCGAAGGCGGCAUCCUGGACCAACACUGACACUGAGGAGCGAAAGCCAGGGGAGCAAACGGG
Molecule: ribosomal RNA, 253 nt
Filed under: uncultured bacterium
Lineage: Bacteria
Description: partial 16S ribosomal RNA
Rfam family: Bacterial small subunit ribosomal RNA
Source: RNAcentral